GGGUUGUGAGGUUAAGUGACUAAGCGUACACGGUGGAUGCCUAGGCAGUCAGAGGCGAUGAAGGGCGUGUUAAUCUGCGAUAAGCGUCGGUAAGGUGAUAUAAACCGUUAUAACCGGCGAUACCCGAAUGGGGAAACCCAGUGCAAUUCGUUGCACUAUCAUACGAUGAAUACAUAGUCGUAUGAGGCGAACCGGGGGAACUGAAACAUCUAAGUACCCCGAGGAAAAGAAAUCAACCGAGAUUCCCCCAGUAGCGGCGAGCGAACGGGGAGGAGCCCAGAACCUGAAUCAGUUCUUGUGUUAGUGGAAGCGUCUGGAAAGUCGCACAGUAAAGGGUGAUAGUCCCGUACACUAAAAUGCAUUAAUUGUGAGUUCGAUGAGUAGGGCGGGACACGUGACAUCCUGUCUGAAUAUGGGGGGACCAUCCUCCAAGGCUAAAUACUCCUGACUGACCGAUAGUGAACCAGUACCGUGAGGGAAAGGCGAAAAGAACCCCGGCGAGGGGAGUGAAAUAGAACCUGAAACCGUGUACGUACAAGCAGUGGGAGCCUACUAGUUGGGUGACUGCGUACCUUUUGUAUAAUGGGUCAGCGACUUAUAUUUUGUAGCAAGGUUAACCGUAUAGGGGAGCCGUAGGGAAACCGAGUCUUAACUGGGCGAAUAGUUGCAAGGUAUAGACCCG
RNAcentral lists this ribosomal RNA (682 nucleotides) under Serratia proteamaculans. RNAcentral's name for it is "partial 23S ribosomal RNA". It matches the Rfam family "Bacterial large subunit ribosomal RNA", at positions 1 to 717 of the family's 2925-position model. Lineage: Bacteria; Pseudomonadati; Pseudomonadota; Gammaproteobacteria; Enterobacterales; Yersiniaceae. The record is from RNAcentral.